GAUGAACGCUCACAGAAUGCUUAACACAUGCAAGUCCACUUGAACUUCGGUUUGGGUGGCGGACGGGUGAGUAACGCGUAAAGAACUUGCCUCACAGAUAGGGACAACAUUUGGAAACGAAUGCUAAUACCUGAUAUUAUGAUUAUAUGGCAUCGUAUAAUUAUGAAAGCUAUAUGCGCUGUGAGAGAGCUUUGCGUCCCAUUAGCUAGUUGGAGAGGUAACGGCUCACCAAGGCGAUGAUGGGUAGCCGGCCUGAGAGGGUGAUCGGCCACAAGGGGACUGAGACACGGCCCUUACUCCUACGGGAGGCAGCAGUGGGGAAUAUUGGACAAUGGACCAAGAGUCUGAUCCAGCAAUUCUGUGUGCACGAUGAAGUUUUUCGGAAUGUAAAGUGCUUUCAGUUGGGAAGAAAAAAAUGACGGUACCAACAGAAGAAGUGACGGCUAAAUACGUG
RNAcentral lists this ribosomal RNA (454 nucleotides) under uncultured bacterium. Its description in RNAcentral is "partial 16S ribosomal RNA". It matches the Rfam family "Bacterial small subunit ribosomal RNA", at positions 28 to 507 of the family's 1533-position model. The record is from RNAcentral.